CGGGUUGGUCGGUUCCCUGCUUGUGCAGCGACGAUCGCUCUUUCAUUCCUUUUCAUUCCUGCUCCAAUAGCGGUGUGCCUUGGACCGAAUUGGUUGCCUGUGUUGUAUACCUGCGUUGAUGGAAUUCUCUUGUCAAAUCGCACCUAAUUCACCUUGUGCUGCUCGCGCGGUGCAGGAUGAACCUUGAAGUGUCUCUUUGUUGCCUGUUAUUGCCUCGCAUUCGUGCAUCGCAUGAAAUGGCCAACGUUGCGGCGCUCGAUUUCUCGAAUACAGAACCUUAAGCGGGCAAAGUGCUUUUGGCCUCGAUUUGCCCAAACUAAGCGUUCUCGCUUCUUACGAACGACUGUCGUGCCCGUUUUGACCUAAGGAUACUUUCGUUCCGANUGGCUCACGC
Molecule: unclassified non-coding RNA, 394 nt
Filed under: Polyscias nodosa
Lineage: Eukaryota; Viridiplantae; Streptophyta; Magnoliopsida; Apiales; Araliaceae
Description: partial contains external transcribed spacer and 18S ribosomal RNA
Source: RNAcentral